This 840-nucleotide long non-coding RNA is filed under the name Sinocyclocheilus anshuiensis. Its description in RNAcentral is "lncRNA (ENSSANG00000006264.1)". Lineage: Eukaryota; Metazoa; Chordata; Actinopteri; Cypriniformes; Cyprinidae. The record is from RNAcentral.
CACGUGCUCGGAGCAGCAGUGCAGAAAUGCUGGAGCAGAUGAUCAUAGCAAUGGCUGUUCUCCUUACUCUCUUCUAUGCUGAAUUUACUGAAUCCUCCUCAAGCUGCAGUCUCCACAAAGCCGAAAUAAAAAGAGUGGAUGAAAAUGCAACAGCAUUUGUGUCCUGUCCAGCACUUGCAGAGCAUGAAAACCCAUCUAUCUCUCUAUACAAGGGAGAUACAAAGCUGCACUCAACAAACCUGAGUGAUGUGGACAGUAAUCAGUCAUGGCAGCGGUUUCAGGUGUACGUAGAAAACUCCUCCGUCUCAUUUAAGAUUCUAAGGGCUGAAGCCAGUGACACAGGACUCUACAAUUGCAAAAUCGACACACAAAUCAGGACAUCUGCAUCCCAGACUAUAUUGCUCAUUAAAGAUGCUCUGCAGCCCAUAGAAUCAACUGUCACUUGUCCCAUUGAUCAGACACUGCCACUUGCUGUUGGCUGUGGGGUCAUCAUUGCAUAUGAUCUGAUCAUCACUGUCUUCGUCUGUUACCUCAAAUAUAAACUCAAGAACACAGAGCCACCUGAGAAUCCCUACAUAAACACAAGACCAAAAGGAUUCCAACGACGCUGAUGAGCUCAGCAGCAUUUAUCCAGCAAAUAUCAGCAGCGUAGCAACAUUUGUACCUCCUAUCAGCUGAGCAGUAUACUGCCCAGAGAGUGUAUUAAACAAAUCUACUAAUUGUUCUUGUAUCUAUUGCUGUUCAGUAUAUAUGAUAGAUAUUGUAUAGUAUAUUUACACUGGGGGUCAAAGGUUUGGAAUCAUUAGGAUUUUUAAUGUUUUUGUUAGAAGUCUCUUAUGC